AAGUAAUCGUAUCCCAUGUAGCAUCAUAUAUCGGGUAUAUAUUUAUACAAUAUUGGCAGAGCAUUUUUAUGUUGGGUUAAUAUUGUCAAUUAUUAGCCAAUAUUACUCCAAUAUAGCUUUGUUGACCAAUAUUGAUGUAUCUAUGCAAAUACAAUAUUGGCAAAAUAUUUUUAAUUUCCAGUAUUGCUUGAAGAUUAACAUGCAAUAUUGUAYAGCAAUACUAUGCCAAUUAAACGUUUUCGAUAUAAUUAAUAAUCAUACAAUAUUGUCUUAGUAGGUAAUAAUUAUUAAUAAUAUCUUACGGCCUGGCCUGAUUUAUAAUCAAAGUUAAAGUGUUUAUUUCUUAAAGUGUUAGAGAAAAAUAGAAACAAAAAACCGGUUGCAAAUCUAAUUGCGUACUAUAUUGAAAACUGCUUGUCGGAUAAACACGCGAACACGCCUGCGGAACGGGUCAACUUUAGCAAUCGAACUCAGCUACUAUUAUUUGAGGUUAGCGUUGUGUACUUAUUUGUACCUACCUAAAUAGUAAAUAGUUACAUACUUCGGUGUUUUGUGCAAUAAUCUGUAACUCAACAUGUCAUCAAGAUCGAAAAAAUCGAUGUAUAUAAAAAGGCAACUUGAGAAGGAAGUUAAUACUUUAACUACAGCUAUUGCUAAAAAGCAUAAACCCAAUUUUCGCAAUUGUGAAAACACUAAUCCUGAAAGCUUUGGGUUAGAAUUUCAGAGUGAUGAAGCUUCUAAUGAUGCCUUAUAUGUUAACCGACCUAGAUAUCAGGAAAUAUAUCGAAUUUUCCCUGGCUAGUGCUGGAGAUGGAGGGUGGAAGAAAGUCCAGGCCGGAUCCGAUAUCAGAACAAAAAUGAUGCGUGUGAGAAAAAAUGUUUGUUA
Molecule: long non-coding RNA, 886 nt
Organism: Dendroctonus ponderosae (mountain pine beetle)
Lineage: Eukaryota; Metazoa; Arthropoda; Insecta; Coleoptera; Curculionidae
Exons: 3
Source: RefSeq, a predicted model, not a curated record